This 444-nucleotide ribosomal RNA is filed under the name actinobacterium IGS9. RNAcentral's name for it is "bacterial SSU rRNA". It matches the Rfam family "Bacterial small subunit ribosomal RNA", at positions 21 to 463 of the family's 1533-position model. The record is from RNAcentral. Lineage: Bacteria; Bacillati; Actinomycetota; Actinomycetes.
GGCUCAGGACGAACGCUGGCGGCGUGCUUAACACAUGCAAGUCGAACGAUGAACCCGGAGCUUGCUCUGGGGGAUUAGUGGCGAACGGGUGAGUAACACGUGAGUAACCUGCCCUGGACUCUGGGAUAAGCGUUGGAAACGACGUCUAAUACCGGAUAGGACCUUGGAUCGCAUGAUCUGGGGUGGAAAGUUUUUUCGGUCUGGGAUGGACUCGCGGCCUAUCAGCUUGUUGGUGAGGUAAUGGCUCACCAAGGCGUCGACGGGUAGCCGGCCUGAGAGGGUGACCGGCCACACUGGGACUGAGACACGGCCCAGACUCCUACGGGAGGCAGCAGUGGGGAAUAUUGCACAAUGGGCGAAAGCCUGAUGCAGCAACGCCGCGUGCGGGAUGACGGCCUUCGGGUUGUAAACCGCUUUUAGUAGGGAAGAAGGGCUUCGGCUGAC